CCUACGGGGGGCUGCAGUGGGGAAUAUUGGACAAUGGGGGCAACCCUGAUCCAGCCAUGCCGCGUGUGUGAAGAAGGCCCUCGGGUUGUAAAGCACUUUCAGUGAGGAAGAACGCCUGGUGGUUAAUACCCAUCAGGAAAGACAUCACUCACAGAAGAAGCACCGGCUAACUCCGUGCCAGCAGCCGCGGUAAUACGGAGGGUGCGAGCGUUAAUCGGAAUUACUGGGCGUAAAGCGCGCGUAGGUGGCUUGAUAAGCCGGUUGUGAAAGCCCCGGGCUCAACCUGGGAACGGCAUCCGGAACUGUCAAGCUAGAGUGCAGGAGAGGAAGGUAGAAUUCCCGGUGGAGCGGUGAAAUGCGUAGAGAUCGGGAGGAAUACCAGUGGCGAAGGCGGCCUUCUGGACUGACACUGACACUGAGGUGCGAAAGCGUGGGUAGCAAACAGGAUUAGAUACCCCAGUAGUC
RNAcentral lists this ribosomal RNA (465 nucleotides) under Vreelandella stevensii. Its description in RNAcentral is "partial 16S ribosomal RNA". It matches the Rfam family "Bacterial small subunit ribosomal RNA", at positions 338 to 795 of the family's 1533-position model. Lineage: Bacteria; Pseudomonadati; Pseudomonadota; Gammaproteobacteria; Oceanospirillales; Halomonadaceae. The record is from RNAcentral.